UGAACGCUGGCGGUAUGCUUUACACAUGCAAGUCGUACGGGAGUUUUUAACUCAAGUGGCGGACGGGUGAGUAACACGUAAGAAUUUACCUUUAGGAGGGGGACAACAACUGGAAACGGUUGCUAAUACCCCAUAUGCUUUCGAGUGAAAUGGAUUUAUAUUUAUCCGCCUAGAGAGAAGCUCGCGGCUGAUUAGCUUGUUGGUAAGGUAAGAGCUUACCAAGGCGACGAUCAGUAUCUGGUUUGAGAGGACGAUCAGACACACUGGAACUGAGACACGGUCCAGACUCCUACGGGAGGCAGCAGUGGGGAAUUUUCCGCAAUGGGCGAAAGCCUGACGGAGCAAUACCGCGUGAGGGAUGACGGCCUAUGGGUUGUAAACCUCUUUUUUCAGGGAGGAAUCAAUGACGUGUACCUGAAGAAUAAGCAUCGGCUAACUCC
This 440-nucleotide ribosomal RNA is filed under the name uncultured bacterium. RNAcentral describes it as "bacterial SSU rRNA". It matches the Rfam family "Bacterial small subunit ribosomal RNA", at positions 30 to 504 of the family's 1533-position model. The record is from RNAcentral.